CGCCGGCCCCGGCCCCCGGCUCCCCCGCCCUCCCGAUCCCCCGAGCUGCACCAAACAGCUCUCAGGUUUCUGCUGAUACUGCAGCGUCAAGAAAUGGCUCGAGUUUGCUCCUCGCUCUUAUGCAUUCAGCAGCCCUCUCGCUCCUGCCACACGCGUCCAGCUCCUGCCUCCUCCUGCCUCCGCCGCUGCUGCUGCCGGGACGAGCCAAGACCGACUCCGGGGAUGCGGCUGCAGGGCUGCGGCGCUCUGACAUCUCCCCCGCCGCCGCUGCCCAGCGCCCGGCUCCUUUUCCAGCUGUCCUAAGGGAAGAGAGCUGGAGAGCCGGCAGCUAUCUAGGACUCCUUGAUUUUAUGGACUAACUCGAGCCUUUUUGGAAAAGUGUCUCGCAGGCAGCCCUGUAAAGCGAUCGCUGUGUGAUAAAGAGGGGCGCGAGAGGAGGAGGAGGAGGGUUAAGUUUGCCGCUGCGGUUUUUGUUUUGGUUUGGUUUUUUUGGAUGCUGCUGCAAGGCGACUUGACGCAUUCGGGCACUGGCUCCUUCUCCUGAGCGGCGCGUCUCGCCCGGAGCAGCUUCGUGACAGCAGCUGCGGCGAUGGUCGAGCCGGCGAGAAAAGUGGACGGAUCGAGUUAAAGGCUAAAGGAGACGGCUGGGGAGGGGAGCCCCAGCCUGGGGGUGCACUCCAUAGACCUUCAGCCUCCCGGUUUGGGGGACAGGACCCCUCACCUUACCUGCCCUCUGCCCCCCCUAAAGGUACUUCUUCCCUCUUUCUUCACCCUCCCAUCAUCCCUGAUGCCUCUCCCUUCAUCCCACCUCUCUUUUCCCCUUUUGGGUAUUUCCAUCCUUUAGGCUCCACAUCCACCCCUUCCUCAAGCUCCCCAUCCCACCUCAAUCCCCCCACCCCUGAACCGCCCUGGGUCUCUCUGUGCUCCUCCAUCCUCCUCCUCCUCCUCCUCCUCCCUUUCCCUCACUUCUCCCCUGCCCCUUGGU
RNAcentral lists this long non-coding RNA (985 nucleotides) under Catharus ustulatus (Swainson's thrush). Its description in RNAcentral is "lncRNA (ENSCUSG00005005846.1)". The record is from RNAcentral. Lineage: Eukaryota; Metazoa; Chordata; Aves; Passeriformes; Turdidae.